ACCUGAUUCAAUUGACAUGGCCGCCUUGGACAUUUAUAGAGACAGAGAGAGGGGAGUUCCGCGGUACAAUGAGUUCAGAAGGAAUUUGCUGAUGGUACCAAUUAGCAAGUGGGAGGAUUUAACUAACGACGAAGAAGUAAUUGAGGCUUUACAAGAAGUAUAUGGCGAUGAUAUUGAGAAGCUAGAUCUCCAAAUUGGUUUGCACGCGGAGAAGAAAAUUAAAGGCUUUGCCAUUAGUGAGACUGCCUUUUUUAUAUUUCUGCUCAUUGCUUCAAGGAGGUUAGAGGCUGAUCGAUUCUUCACAACUGAUUUCAAUUCGCGAACCUACACAGAGAAAGGCUUUGAAUGGGUAAACAAGACAGAGACAUUGAAAGAUGUCAUCGAUCGAUACUUCCCUGAAAUGACAGAGAAAUACAUGAGAUGCACAAGUGCAUUCUCAGUGUGGAGUUCAGAUCCAGAUCCUAAACACUACUUACCUCUUUAUCUGAGACCAGCAACCUAAUGGUAGUACUAUAUUUGGUGAUCAACUUUGUAUGGGGUGAUUAUGUUAAAACAAUGGUAAGUUUGCAAGGAAAAUACAAACAACCCUAGUUUACGGUCAGAUGAAUAAACCUUGUAUGAGAGGGGGCAUCACGCUACAAAACUACAUAUCAUAAACUCCACCAUAGUUAACGCAUUCAAGCCACCUCUCAUACA
Molecule: unclassified non-coding RNA, 696 nt
Filed under: Hevea brasiliensis (rubber tree)
Lineage: Eukaryota; Viridiplantae; Streptophyta; Magnoliopsida; Malpighiales; Euphorbiaceae
Source: RNAcentral